Homo sapiens (human) is the source of this 1225-nucleotide long non-coding RNA. NCBI's taxonomy places the organism in Eukaryota, Metazoa, Chordata, Mammalia, Primates, Hominidae. The record is from Ensembl.
GGGGAGGCCUCCCUGCACCUCCAGAACACCCGUGCAAGGACCCGGACAGUACCGUGUAGCGUGAGACCUUCUGCCACAGAGGCCCCUGCUGCCCAUCACCGCCUGUUUCUGGGUGUCGAUUUCCUGCCUGGACCCAGACAAGGACAUGGAUAUGAAGGGAAGAAGGACUCAGCUCCGUGGACCCCCGCCCCCCACCGCCACUGCGUGGCCACGCUGGCCUCGACCGUGCUGACCAGAGCCAGCAGGGGUCAGGAUUCACCCAGGAAUGACGGGCCCGAGGCCGCUAGGGUUCCAGUGCCCGACAGAAGACAGAGUUCUGCACGCCGGCCAGUGAACACAGACCAGAAGCAGUAAGGGAACAGGAAGCUGGGGGUAAUGGGCACGAAGUCAGAGACAGAGAUGCCCGUGGGUUCCGCUUUCAUUGUUGAAAAUGCUUCUGACUUCCAUUUCCCUGACCUCAUCUCUGCCCCAGCACCAGAGGCGCCCCAAAAUUAAUGCACACCCCAAACCAAUGCUCCUUCCACCAGGUGCCGCUCCAGCUUUCUGCAUCCAAGGAAACAGCUCCAUGAUUCAGGCUUACACCCUCGGGUGCCCUUCCCUGCUGUUUCUCUUGCCUCCCACAUCCCAGCCAUCAGCAAAUGCUGACAAUUCUACCUUCAGAAUUGUUCCCAGGCCAGGCACGGUGGCUCACGCCUGAAAUCCCAGUGCUUUGGGAGGCCGAGGCAGGAGGAUGGCUUGAGCCCAAGAGUUCAAGGCCAGCCUGGGCAACAUAGAGAGACCCCCUUCUCUGGAAAACAACAGAAUUGAUCCUGAAGCUUUUAAGGAACAAACAGCACCAAUCCUACCCAAACUCUUUCAGAAACUAGAGGAGGAAGGAACACUUCCCAAUGUGUUUUAUGAGGCCAGCGUAACCAAAACACAUUACUGAAAAUCAAAGGCCAAUAUCCCUCAUGAAUAUCGAUGCACAAAUCCUUAAUAUUAACAAAUUGAAUCCAGCUGUCUAUAAAAGGGAUUCUCCAUCAUGACCACCAAGUGGGGUUUAUCCCAGGAAUGCAAGGUUGGUUUAAUACCCAAGAAUCAAUGUGAUUAACCACAUUAGCAUAAGAGAGGAAAACCAUAUGAUCAUCUCAGUAGAUGCAGAAAAUUCAGCACUCACUUGGACAAAAUUCAGCAUUCAUGCAGAUUAAAAACACGCAACUAGGAAUAGAAUGGCAUAUCCUCAACC